This 426-nucleotide ribosomal RNA is filed under the name uncultured bacterium. Its description in RNAcentral is "bacterial SSU rRNA". It matches the Rfam family "Bacterial small subunit ribosomal RNA", at positions 356 to 773 of the family's 1533-position model. The record is from RNAcentral.
GGGGAAUAUUGGACAAUGGGGGGAACCCUGAUCCAGCCAUGCCGCGUGUGUGAAGAAGGCCUUAUGGUUGUAAAGCACUUUAAGCGAGGAGGAGGCUACUUUGGUUAAUACCUAAAGAUAGUGGACGUUACUCGCAGAAUGAGCACCGGCUAACUCUGUGCCAGCAGCCGCGGUAAUACAGAGGGUGCGAGCGUUAAUCGGAUUUACUGGGCGUAAAGCGUGCGUAGGCGGCUUUUUAAGUCGGAUGUGAAAUCCCCGAGCUUAACUUGGGAACUGCAUUCGAUACUGGGAAGCUAGAGUAUGGGAGAGGAUGGUAGAAUUCCAGGUGUAGCGGUGAAAUGCGUAGAGAUCUGGAGGAAUACCGAUGGCGAAGGCAGCCAUCUGGCCUAAUACUGACGCUGAGGUACGAAAGCAUGGGGAGCAAAC